GAUUUUGAUGGAGCUCAGACUGAAUUGUGGUGACGUAGACCUCUCUACAAGGUUUAACUGCUGCUGUGCCGCAGUCACCAACAUCUUCGCCACCAUUUC
Long non-coding RNA from Melanotaenia boesemani (Boeseman's rainbowfish), 99 nucleotides. RefSeq lists it as uncharacterized. Lineage: Eukaryota; Metazoa; Chordata; Actinopteri; Atheriniformes; Melanotaeniidae. The record is from RefSeq and is a predicted model, not a curated record. The transcript has 3 exons.